RNAcentral lists this transfer RNA (77 nucleotides) under Planctomycetota bacterium. RNAcentral describes it as "tRNA-Val". It matches the Rfam family "tRNA". From Rfam's summary of the family: Transfer RNA (tRNA) molecules are approximately 80 nucleotides in length. Their secondary structure includes four short double-helical elements and three loops (D, anti-codon, and T loops). Further hydrogen bonds mediate the characteristic L-shaped molecular structure. tRNAs have two regions of fundamental functional importance: the anti-codon, which is responsible for specific mRNA codon recognition, and the 3' end, to which the tRNAs corresponding amino acid is attached (by aminoacyl-tRNA synthetases). tRNAs cope with the degeneracy of the genetic code in two manners: having more than one tRNA (with a specific anti-codon) for a particular amino acid; and 'wobble' base-pairing, i.e. permitting non-standard base-pairing at the 3rd anti-codon position. Lineage: Bacteria; Pseudomonadati; Planctomycetota. The record is from RNAcentral.
GGGCGAUUAGCUCAGUUGGUUAGAGCGCCUCUUUUACAAGGAGGAAGUCGUGGGUUCGAAUCCCUCAUCGCCCACCA